This is a long non-coding RNA of Megachile rotundata (alfalfa leafcutting bee), 588 nucleotides long. RefSeq lists it as uncharacterized. The record is from RefSeq and is a predicted model, not a curated record. NCBI's taxonomy places the organism in Eukaryota, Metazoa, Arthropoda, Insecta, Hymenoptera, Megachilidae.
CACGCUUUUCCUCCGCUGUUUCUCCCUCUGCUUUCUCUUUUCGUCGUGCAAGCUGCCGGUAUCGGGAACGAUUUCUUUGUCUUUCGGGACAUUCCUCGGUGAUGUGUCGCCACGCGGAGGAAAUUUUAGUUACAGCCUCUUAGAAUCGGGAAUGGAAUUUAUACGUUUCUGUGCUUUGUGUAAUGGCGAACGUGAUGGACCUCUUUUGGGAAUAUGGCGAUAUAGCGAGAGCUUUAGUGCUGUACGAGAUGGGCGAACGUUUUCUGUGCGAAUGGAAUACAUUAAGAUUUAUUUUUUUUGUAUUUUCAAACGAGUACAUUUUCCUAUGACCCGACACGUGCUUCGAAGAGGAUCGAUGUCCUUCAGGGGAGUCCGCGAAACCUGCUGGCGGUCGAACGAUCUCUUCCGAGACCUCGAGGUGGAGCAAUACGAUGGCACGCACGAUAGAGAAAAGAGAAAUAAUAAGAAGAAAGGAAGAAAUUCAAGAUCCAAGCAACUAACUACACUAUGCACUACAGUAAUGACAGUCACCAGGACAACCAUUAGAAGCAAUGAGAGAUAUUGCCUGAAGCAAACACAGAUGGCGCG